GAUGAACGCUGGCGGCGUGCCUAAUACAUGCAAGUCGAGCGAAUGGAUUAAGAGCUUGCCCUUAUGAAGUUAGCGGCGGACGGGUGAGUAACACGUGGGUAACCUGCCCAUAAGACUGGGAUAACUCCGGGAAACCGGGGCUAAUACCGGAUAACAUUUUGAACCGCAUGGUUCGAAAUUGAAAGGCGGCUUCGGCUGUCACUUAUGGAUGGACCCGCGUCGCAUUAGCUAGUUGGUGAGGUAACGGCUCACCAAGGCAACGAUGCGUAGCCGACCGGAGGGGGGGGUCGGCCACACUGGGACUGAGACACGGCCCAGACUCCUACGGGAGGCAGCAGUAGGGAAUCUUCCGCAAUAGACGAAAGUCUGACGGAGCAACGCCGCGUGAGUGAUGAAGGCUUUCGGGUCGUAAAACUCUGUUGUUAGGGAAGAACAAGUGCUAGUUGAAUAAGCUGGCACCUUGACGGUACCUAACCAGAAAGCCACGGCUAACUACGUGCCAGCCGCCGCCGUAA
RNAcentral lists this ribosomal RNA (515 nucleotides) under uncultured bacterium. RNAcentral describes it as "partial 16S ribosomal RNA". It matches the Rfam family "Bacterial small subunit ribosomal RNA", at positions 28 to 523 of the family's 1533-position model. The record is from RNAcentral.